RNAcentral lists this long non-coding RNA (5445 nucleotides) under Sus scrofa (pig). RNAcentral's name for it is "lncRNA (ENSSSCG00055021244.1)". Lineage: Eukaryota; Metazoa; Chordata; Mammalia; Artiodactyla; Suidae. The record is from RNAcentral.
GAGGCUUUUAUCCUCAAGUCUUCAACAGCGAAGAAUGUCGGGCCGGACAGAGGGUCAGCUGGGUACCAGCGAUUGAAGUUCUCAGUUACUGCCCACAGAAAUCUGAACUUGGAACACAAGCACCCUUCCUUCUGCACGGACCUUUUUUUUUGGUAUAAUGAAACCAUUUUUGGAAGAGUGCCUGCCUGUUAUGAAAAAGCAGGCAAGCUGGUUUGGAUAUCUUUGUUUGUGUAAACAUUUUGGUGUUAUUUGUGAAAAUGAUCAGAUGCUGGUGGGGCGGGCAGGCUGACCACGACUCCGCCUGCCACAGCUGCACAGAGGGUUUUUUUUUUUUUUUUUUUUUUUUUUGAAACAUACGUGGGAGAUGGGGAAGAAAUCCACAGUAAAGACUUGGUACAAAAAGCCAUGCAGGCUGCCACUGUGCCCAGCUUUCCUUCCCAUUGUGCCCUGGCUUUCUUGCUGGCUCUCUCCCAAACAGGGAUCUCCUGCUUCAGCUGGACCCGCGGAUCACCUGGGAAAUUCUUUCAAAAGAGUGACGCUCCAGGCUAAUUGAAUCCAGAUCUCUGGUGGGCGAGGAUGAUGGGUUUUGUAGGGGAAGUGGGCGGUGUGGGCCGAAAACCCCGAAGUGCCCCCAUCUUUAGAUUUCGUGAUCUGGAUGGAGAGAGACUUCUUCCUCGAGUUUUGGGUAGAAGGUUUCUGGGGGUGUUGGAGCUGGGCCGCAUCCCCUUGGACAAAAGGGAGAGUGGACUUCCAGCCUGAGCCAGGCUUGGCGGGCAUCGCUUCUCUGGGGGCGUUUACUGUUUCCUUGUCUUCCUUCUCCUGGUCACUUCUCAGGUCUCUGGACCUUUACAGGGUGUGCCUGCCCUCAGCAGCCUUUUUUUUUUUUUUUUAAAAAAAACAAAACAGACAGAACCCAGGCCAGGGAUUGAACUUGUGCUGUAGCAUCGACCCAAGCCUCUGCCGUGACAACACCAGAUCCUCAACCCGCUGUACCAUAGAAGAAUUCCCGUACUUUGUUUCUUUUUAUGACUUCAUAAUAUUCCUUCGUGUGGGUGUACCACAUUCAGUGCAUCCAUUCAUCACCUGACGAGCAUCUGAACUGUUUGCAGUUUCUGGCUGUUAGGAAUCAUGCUGCUCUGAGAAUCUGUGUACAUGUCUUAGAGUGGAUUAUCUUUCCAUUGCACUGUUUUUUUACAGCAUGUCCUAAGCAGUAUCGCCUCAGCCAUUAGGGAAGUGUCUUAAAAUGUUUGGCAUCAGAGAUAAGUCAUUAUUCCAAAGUGGACAGCUCUGGGUCAGGGGCCAGGAGACCUGGGGGACCCUGUGCGCCUGCUGGUUGUCCUCGGACUGUGAGUGGCUCAGCUCUUGAGAAGAAGGAAAGCACUCACAGCUCCUCUCCUAGGCCUCCUGCUUCUAGAGAUCACGCACUUUGCGAGAGAGGUGGUGCCAUGUCCCUGGAUCCCUACAAGACAUCAGUAUUGUUUGUGUGAUGAAUGAGUCCACGCCGUGGCUAUUGAAUGUAUUUGCACCUUCUAACAGUGUCGUCUUGCCUGUGUCGCUGACUGGUUUUGAGAUUUAUGAGGCCUCACUCAGAAGCAAUGUGUGUCUGGAUUAAGGGAACCUGAGAAUCACUAUUUAUGUCUGACCCGAGGAAGUUCCCUUUAAGCUGCUUAUCAGAGGUGCAUGCUGAGAGCAUGAUGGGAAGAUGGAGUCUUCCAUCCGCUGGCAAAAUCUGGAAUCUGCUCUCACUCCAUUUUAACUGGAGUGACAAUAAGCUAACAGACCCAUAGGUCUACCCGGAAGUAUCUGCUGACAGCUUCACUUUUGUAAAUUGAGUUGAAAAACUACCUGUGCUCUAAUUCUGAUUUUUCCCGAUACUCCAAGUCUUCAGUGUGGAUUAAAACAUCAUCCCUUUUUGUAAAAAUCAAAACAAAGCAACUUUGAUCUAGGUGAUUUAGGAGAAACUAAAUAUGCCUCUAAUUUCACUACCAGUAUAGUGAAUAUUUAUUUUCCACUUAAAGGGCUAUCAGUGCUCCACGAUUUUUGCAUUUGCAAUUUGAAAGCUACCAGAAAAUUUCCACAUUAUUAAAAAAUUAAGUUUCUCUCGAAAAUAUUCCCUGUGCAGACGCUAACACAUGUGUAUGCACUAUUUCACCACCAGGGGGCAUUGUGGUUUGACUGUCCAUUUAAACAGCCCACAUUCUAUCAGUUUACCCAGGAAAUAGAAGGCCUGGGCAUAUUUCUGAUUCCUUCCAAGAAGGAGCCAUAUCUGGGAGAGAACAGAUGUCGAUUCUUUUUCCUUACUAGCAAACGGUAGUGUUGUCAAAUUUGCUAAACUUAGCCAGUCGAAGAUUAACAUGCAGUAUAUAAUAUGCAUGUGCCUAACUGUACAAUAAGUAGUAAAUCACAUUUUUAUGCUUUCUCUGAACUUGGAAGCUGCAAGUUAUUUUUUUUUUUAUUCCCUGGGUGUGAUGAAAUAAAUAACAUUCAAAUACAUUUUAAAGAUGUCAGUCAGCGGGGGGAAAAAAAGUGCUUGGCAACUGUGUUUGAUAGAUUUCUUUUAUGAUUAAUUCUCCUAUUAAGUUUUAAUGACUUUAAAGAUAUAAAGCUAGAAACCACAAAACUAGGCAUGGUUAAUAAAUAACUGAAAUUCCAGGUGUAUAGAAAUGCAUGUGUGGAAAAAUGAAAUCGUAUAUUCUCUAGGAUGUAUGAGGAAACGGCUCUCUGGAGAGUCUAGAGAGUCAAAUAUCCCCAAAAGGGAGGGGACAAGUUUAAAAACAGGGAACUCAAGGAGAUUGUCUUCCUUUAGGAAAAUCCUAGGAAAAACGUACUCUCUAAGAUUAACCAAUGUAAAGUAAAUUAUCUUACGAGCCAGUAAUUUUCAGCAAGAUGGUGGUUCUCUUGGAUGGAAUGCAUUUCUCCAUUUUGGCUUUUUAAAGUGUCUCUGUCCACAAUUUCAAGUAUUUCUCCCAGUUCCUCUUCACACUUUUCUCCCCAGGCUCAUCUGGCCUGGAAGAUGUGUGCUGAUUCAUUGUUUUGUAAAUGUUCAAAAGCCUGCCUGGUCCCAGGAGUGGGGAUCGGAGUGGCAGUAUUUCAGCAAUGCUCUCUCUCUCUCUCUUCUUCCUCCUGCACCCAGAAUGUAUGAACCAGGACUCAGCUCCUGCACAGAACAUCUCUGGGAGUCGGGGAGAAUUGAAGAAUCAAUUCUAGUUUCCACGUGGCAGGAGUGAGGCUUGCCUGGGGCUGGCGGGGUCCCCCACUCCCUGAAACACCCCCUCCACGUCCGAGCCUGUGUGUUCACGCUGGGGGCCUCUGCAGCAAGCACAGCUGGAUUUUUUACUUUCUAGACCAUCUCAAUUCGAGGUCUUAAACUGAACAGUUUAGAAACCAAACAGACAUGAAUCAACAUGAAGAAUAACUGGGAAGAGUUACGGGGCCCCCAGAAGAAUGUAUAAAUGUGUGUGUUUUUGUAUCUGGUUAUGUGUAUGUUUUCAUGCCUCAAAAGAGACACAUGGUAUAUUUCAAUCCAUUCCCGCCACGAAGGACUUUUAUUCUUGAGUGUUUCCGAGUCCCCAAAGCACAAUAGAUGCCAUUUGGAACCUUCACACGAGGCAGCCCCCACACUUCAGAACUUCAAGUCGAAAGAUCUUUUAAGUCCACAAAACUUAUUUUUCAAAGAUCUUGGCCCAUUCCAAAUGAAUACUGAUUCCCAGCCUCUCAAAUGCCUGGAGUGAGAAAACAGGGAAUAUUGUUCUUUUCUGUUUAUAUUAUUUCAUACUGAGUUAAUACACUUGCCAAGAGUCCAGGCAGCUUCUGGCCUGACAAUGCCUUAUUUAACCAGCCUAGUUUUGAGAAUAAAGUCAGGGUCCUCCCCCCCCCCCCCCCCCCAGGGCCCUCCCAGCAGUACUCAGGUCACUUCUGAGUUGGAAGAAACCAAAGCAAAUAAAGCGAAUCUGUUUCUCUAUGAAAAUCAUCUUUUUUUUUUUUUUUUUUUUUCCUGGGCUAGGACCCAGAUUUGGCCCUGGCAAGCAGGACAGCCUGGCCCCACACCGGAACCUCAGUUCCUCCUGGGUUUCAGAGAACUGGAAUCCCCAGGCCCAGCCUCUCCCGGCCAAGGAGCCUCACCAGAAACUGAGGCUUCCGGCUCGCUCCCAGCCUGGAGACUGCAGGCCAGUCUGGCUGGCAGAUGCUCCUCCAGCCCUGGCCGCAUCUCGGUGCUGUCCUGGUACACGGAACGCCUUAGCUUGAGGCUGGAAGAAACUCCACGCGUUUGGCCCAAAAGAGGCAACUCCUUCCAGCUGGCCCGGGCGCUGGGCCUUAACAGUGACCCAGAUGAACUGAUUUUGUACAGAGUGGGUGGAGAGGACCCUGGGGACCGGGGGUUGGGGGGGAGGAGGGAAAAGCCGGCGCUUGGCUCCGUGCACAGCGUUUCCUUGGCCGAGCUCCAGGGGAGAGACGGGAUCCAGGGCGAAGGGCCCUUGCAGACCCCCUACCCCCACCCCGCAUGCCCGGGCCUUCCUGCUGGACAUCGGAUCGGCCCUGUGCCCCGAAGACAGUCCCCUCGCCAAGCAGGGGCUGCCCAGGAAGGGAGGCCAUGGGCUUCACGUGUGGAGGGAGUGGCUCCUGUGGACAUGAGAAGACGACACCAAAGGCUGGGACAUUCCUCCAAAUAGAACUCGGGGCCCCCGCCCGCCCCGGAGACGUAAAGGCCGCGCUGCCUGCGCCCCCACAUGCGCACUCUCUACGGCGCGCCCGCCUCCGAAGCCAGGGCGCCCAGGGCCUUGGCCCCGCUCUCAGAUGAGGAGUGGCGCUCGUGUGAGCCUGGCACUGUCUUCUCACCCAAGAGAAGGAGAAAGGCAAAAGGAAAGAGCCUGAGCCGCCUCCUUUUAGAUGCCCGCCACCCCCAGAUGGCAGAGCCGGAAUGCUCCAGGUACACCGCCUGCCCAGUGGUGAUGCACAGGCUGGAGGCCGCCUUCCCCUCUCGCGCACCUGCCUGAUGUCUGGCUGCCGGGCUGCUGCGCUGCCGGGCGGGGGCGGCGUCGAUGUUCUGCGAGGAACGUGUCUUACCCAGGCCUGCCUCAUGCCAAGCCCCACUUGCUUCAGGCCAGUCCCUUCUAAUCUGCGCUGUUGUUGUAAACACUGGAGAAGCGGGAUCUUUCUAGCAAGGGCAGUGUUAUCUGGAAUAAAAUGUUAGCCCUGAGAGUGCUCUCGUGUUCCGCCAACAGCGAGCCGGAGAGCAGAGGAGGGAGAGUCAGAACGUGGGGUAUGUGGCAGAGACGGUGCAAGCCAUCUCUGUGUGUCGACCCCGUCUUUAAAGGCAAGAUUAACAGCGAUACAUAAAUAUAAAUGUUUCUUUCUGGCCAAGCACCGCAGAUUAGAUUUCACAUUCGAAAUGUAAAUCGUGCCUAGGAAACAUCGAUGUUUAUUUUCAGCAACUGACCCUCGGGG